GUCUUCCUUCUUCAGGUUUCUACCACUUGCUGUCUGUCUUCUGGGUUUUCUUGCAGUUUCUUUUUCCCCCCAGAGUUUCUUUUUCCCCUCAGAGUUCAGUCCUCCCCCCCGCCCUUCAGUUUCGCAGUCACUGCUAACGGUUGCUGUGUUUUAGGACCCAGUGGAUGAUGAAAUUCACCUGAGACCACAUAGCCAGAGAAGGCCAAACUGAGUUUUGAAUCUAGGCAAUCUUGACCCCAGAGUCUUCCGGCCUAAAGGAUUACUUCGUGGUCUUGCUUCUAAGACUGUUUGUGGGCUUUCAUCAUUUUCAUAGCGCAAACAACGAUUUAUUCUGAGGUGAUGAGAGGUUUAUGCCCAGAAGCUCAACACCACUACUCCGUGUAAAGAAGAUAUUGCUUGGUCAGAUCCAGUAAAAUACCAAAGGGCAUCCAUUAGAAUCUUGUGCAUAAGUUUGCCCACCACUCACUACCCGUGCUCCCUACCAGGUUCUGGUUUCUGGGACCCCAGUGGUCAUUUUCACUUUCUUUGUACUAUUCGUCUAUUUUAAACUAUUACAACAUCAGUAAAAUACCUGGCCAAAUACUAUUUGAU
Long non-coding RNA from Mesoplodon densirostris (Blainville's beaked whale), 591 nucleotides. RefSeq lists it as uncharacterized. The record is from RefSeq and is a predicted model, not a curated record. The transcript has 3 exons. NCBI's taxonomy places the organism in Eukaryota, Metazoa, Chordata, Mammalia, Artiodactyla, Ziphiidae.